RNAcentral lists this ribosomal RNA (118 nucleotides) under Mailhella sp. The record is from RNAcentral. Lineage: Bacteria; Pseudomonadati; Thermodesulfobacteriota; Desulfovibrionia; Desulfovibrionales; Desulfovibrionaceae.
UCCGGCGUCCAUAGAGAAGAGGGUACACCCGAUCCCAUUCCGAACUCGGAAGUUAAGCUCUUCAUCGCUGAUGAUACUGCAUACAUCUUUUAUGUGGGAAAGUAAGCCGACGCCGGAG